CUGCUUUGGCAGCAUAUAUACUAAAAUUGGAACGAUACAGAGAAGAUUAAUACGGCCCCUGCACAAGGAUGACACGCAAAUUCGUGAAGCAUUCUAUAUUUAA
Small nuclear RNA from Mesoplodon densirostris (Blainville's beaked whale), 103 nucleotides. The record is from RefSeq and is a predicted model, not a curated record. Lineage: Eukaryota; Metazoa; Chordata; Mammalia; Artiodactyla; Ziphiidae.